AUACGGAGGGUGCAAGCGUUGUUCGGAAUUACUGGGCGUAAAGCGCGCGUAGGCGGUCUGUUAUGUCAGAUGUGAAAGUCCUCGGCUCGACCGGGGAAGUGCAUUUGAAACUGGCAGACUUGAGUACUGGAGGGGGUGGUGGAAUUCCCGGUGUAGAGGUGAAAUGCGUAGAUAUCGGGAGGAAUACCGGUGGCGAAGGCGACCACCUGGCCAGAUACUGACGCUGAGGUGCGAAAGCGUGGGGAGCAAACAGGAGUAGAAACCCCAGUAGUCC
RNAcentral lists this ribosomal RNA (274 nucleotides) under uncultured bacterium. RNAcentral describes it as "partial 16S ribosomal RNA". It matches the Rfam family "Bacterial small subunit ribosomal RNA", at positions 523 to 796 of the family's 1533-position model. The record is from RNAcentral.